GCCCUUAUAGCACAGUGGCAGUGCACCUCAUUGGUAAUGAGGAGGUCGUCGGUUCGAUCCCGACUAAGGGCA
RNAcentral lists this transfer RNA (72 nucleotides) under Xanthomonas phage X1. Its description in RNAcentral is "tRNA-Thr". It matches the Rfam family "tRNA". From Rfam's summary of the family: Transfer RNA (tRNA) molecules are approximately 80 nucleotides in length. Their secondary structure includes four short double-helical elements and three loops (D, anti-codon, and T loops). The record is from RNAcentral. Lineage: Duplodnaviria; Heunggongvirae; Uroviricota; Caudoviricetes.